This 615-nucleotide ribosomal RNA is filed under the name Pseudomonas sp. R1. Its description in RNAcentral is "bacterial SSU rRNA". It matches the Rfam family "Bacterial small subunit ribosomal RNA", at positions 64 to 674 of the family's 1533-position model. Lineage: Bacteria; Pseudomonadati; Pseudomonadota; Gammaproteobacteria; Pseudomonadales; Pseudomonadaceae. The record is from RNAcentral.
GAGCGGAUGAAAGGAGCUUGCUCCUGGAUUCAGCGGCGGACGGGUGAGUAAUGCCUAGGAAUCUGCCUGGUAGUGGGGGACAACGUUUCGAAAGGAACGCUAAUACCGCAUACGUCCUACGGGAGAAAGCAGGGGACCUUCGGGCCUUGCGCUAUCAGAUGAGCCUAGGUCGGAUUAGCUAGUUGGUGAGGUAAUGGCUCACCAAGGCGACGAUCCGUAACUGGUCUGAGAGGAUGAUCAGUCACACUGGAACUGAGACACGGUCCAGACUCCUACGGGAGGCAGCAGUGGGGAAUAUUGGACAAUGGGCGAAAGCCUGAUCCAGCCAUGCCGCGUGUGUGAAGAAGGUCUUCGGAUUGUAAAGCACUUUAAGUUGGGAGGAAGGGCAGUAAAUUAAUACUUUGCUGUUUUGACGUUACCGACAGAAUAAGCACCGGCUAACUCUGUGCCAGCAGCCGCGGUAAUACAGAGGGUGCAAGCGUUAAUCGGAAUUACUGGGCGUAAAGCGCGCGUAGGUGGUUUGUUAAGUUGGAUGUGAAAUCCCCGGGCUCAACCUGGGAACUGCAUCCAAAACUGGCAAGCUAGAGUAUGGUAGAGGGUGGUGGAAUUUCCUGU